RNAcentral lists this unclassified non-coding RNA (310 nucleotides) under plant metagenome. RNAcentral's name for it is "partial contains 5.8S ribosomal RNA, internal transcribed spacer 2, and large subunit ribosomal RNA". The stretch from base 1 to 105 matches the Rfam family "5.8S ribosomal RNA", at positions 50 to 154 of the family's 154-position model. The record is from RNAcentral.
GAAAUGCGAUAAGUAGUGUGAAUUGCAGAAUUCAGUGAAUCAUCUAAUCUUUGAACGCACAUUGCGCCCCUCGGUAUUCCGUGGGGCAUGCCUGUUCGAGCGUCAUCUACACCCUCAAGCUCUGCUUGGUGUUGGGCGUCUGUCCCGCCUCCUUCGCGCGCGGACUCGCCCCAAAUCCAUUGGCGGCGGCCCUUGCCUCCCUCUCGCGCAGCACAUUGCGCUUCUCGAGGCGCGGCGGACCGCGUCCAGCAAGCAACCGUCACACCGUCUUUGACCUCGGAUCAGGUAGGGAUACCCGCUGAACUUAAGC